Molecule: ribosomal RNA, 450 nt
Filed under: uncultured bacterium
Lineage: Bacteria
Description: partial 16S ribosomal RNA
Rfam family: Bacterial small subunit ribosomal RNA
Source: RNAcentral
CCUACGGGGGGCUGCAGUGGGGAAUAUUGGACAAUGGGGGCAACCCUGAUCCAGCAAUGCCGCGUGUGUGAAGAAGGCCUGCGGGUUGUAAAGCACUUUUGUUGAGGAAGAACGCGUUGGGGUUAAUAGCCUCAAUGUUUGACGUUACUCAAAGAAAAAGCACCGGCUAACUCCGUGCCAGCAGCCGCGGUAAUACGGAGGGUGCAAGCGUUACUCGGAAUUACUGGGCGUAAAGCGUUAAUAGGCGUGGGAAAUCCCCGGGCUUAACCUGGGAAUUGCAUUGGAUACUGGUGUGCUCGAAUGUGGUAGAGGGUGGCGGAAUUUCUGGUGUAGCGGUGAAAUGCGUAGAUAUCAGAAAGAACACCAAUGGCGAAGGCAGCCACCUGGGCCAACAUUGACGCUGAGGUACGAAAGCGUGGGGAGCAAACAGGAUUAGAUACCCUAGUAGUC